Molecule: long non-coding RNA, 259 nt
Filed under: Lathyrus oleraceus (garden pea)
Lineage: Eukaryota; Viridiplantae; Streptophyta; Magnoliopsida; Fabales; Fabaceae
Description: Pisum sativum (pea) long non-coding RNA (PSAT_LNC041793)
Source: RNAcentral
AAAAAAGAGGGAAACAAAGGGCUUUUGGCUCAGAGUCGAUGUUAUAUCCUGUGUUGGUUUCUUUUUAUUUCCUCGGUUUUCUUUUCUUAAUUCUUGACUUUUCACCGACUACCCUUUUCCGUGCUUCUUUCUUUUGAAUCUUCGAGUAUUUGAUUUUUUAAUAUUUUUUUUCUUUCUUUUUCUCGAUUCAUCACUUUUUCUUUUUUUUCUUUUUUUUGCACUUUCUAGGGCUUUGAGAGCUUUUGGGGUUUUUACCCCA